GCGAUUUAUAUAAUUAAAUAGUUGGAUAAGCUAACACUCAGAGCAAGGCGGCAUUUAUUUUAUCUGCAUCUGCAACGAAAACCCACGAGUCUUCCGAGAGUGUUUGAUCUGAAAGUUAUCUUCUUUUCUCUUUCUGCUGUAUCCUAAGGCGGAAUGUCAAAGAGUUACUUCAAGCAAGAGCAUGAUCUCGACAAGAGACGGGCAGAGGCAGCUAGGAUCAGGGAAAAAUACCCAGAUAGGAUUCCAGUGAUUGUGGAGAAGGCAGAAAGAAGUGAUAUACCAAACAUAGAUAAGAAAAAGUAUCUUGUCCCAGCUGACUUGACUGUGGGACAGUUUGUAUAUGUUAUCCGUAAGAGGAUUAAAUUAAGUGCAGAAAAGGCAAUUUU
This 386-nucleotide unclassified non-coding RNA is filed under the name Hevea brasiliensis (rubber tree). The record is from RNAcentral. Lineage: Eukaryota; Viridiplantae; Streptophyta; Magnoliopsida; Malpighiales; Euphorbiaceae.